This 402-nucleotide ribosomal RNA is filed under the name uncultured bacterium. Its description in RNAcentral is "bacterial SSU rRNA". It matches the Rfam family "Bacterial small subunit ribosomal RNA", at positions 355 to 774 of the family's 1533-position model. The record is from RNAcentral.
UGGGGAAUAUUGCACAAUGGGCGAAAGCCUGAUGCAGCAACGCCGCGUGAGUGAUGAAGGCCUUCGGGUUGUAAAGCUCUGUCUUCUGGGACGAUAAUGACGGUACCAGAGGAGGAAGCCACGGCUAACUACGUGCCAGCAGCCGCGGUAAUACGUAGGUGGCAAGCGUUGUCCGGAUUUACUGGGCGUAAAGGAUGCGUAGGCGGAUACUUAAGUCAGAUGUGAAAAUCCCGGGCUUAACUUGGGAACUGCAUUUGAAACUGGGGAUCUAGAGUGCGGGAGAGGAAAGUGGAAUUCCUAGUGUCGCGGUGAAAUGCGUAGAGAUUAGGAAGAACACCAGUGGCGAAGGCGACUUUCUGGACCGUAACUGACGCUGAGGCAUGAAAGCGUGGGGAGCAAACA